GUGCUCACUUUGGCAGCACAUAUACUUAAAUUGGAAAGAUACAGAGAUUAGCAUGGCCCCUGUGCAAGGAUGACGUGCAGAUUCGUGAAGUAUUCCAUAUUUAA
Molecule: small nuclear RNA, 104 nt
Organism: Saimiri boliviensis boliviensis (Bolivian squirrel monkey)
Lineage: Eukaryota; Metazoa; Chordata; Mammalia; Primates; Cebidae
Source: Ensembl